UACAGAGGCCUCAAGCGUUAGGCGGAAUCACUGGGCUUAAAGCGUGUGUAGGUGGAUGCCUAAGUGCCUUGUGAAAUCCCACGGCUUAACCGUGGAAUUGCUGGGCAUACUGGGUGUCUUGAGCCACUCAGGGGCUACCGGAACAAACGGUGGAGCGGUGAAAUGCGUUGAUAUCAGAAGGAACGCCGGUGGCGAAAGCGACAGGCUGGCCCUCUUCUGACGCUGAGGCGCGAAAGCUAGGGGAGCAAACGGG
Molecule: ribosomal RNA, 253 nt
Filed under: uncultured bacterium
Lineage: Bacteria
Description: partial 16S ribosomal RNA
Rfam family: Bacterial small subunit ribosomal RNA
Source: RNAcentral